This 63-nucleotide transfer RNA is filed under the name Eisenia spelaea. RNAcentral's name for it is "tRNA-Ile". Lineage: Eukaryota; Metazoa; Annelida; Clitellata; Crassiclitellata; Lumbricidae. The record is from RNAcentral.
GGUGCGGCGCCGGACGAACGGAUAACUUUGAUGACGUUAAAUAAGGAAUUUUUCCCCGUGCCU